GCGGGUAUGGCGAAAUUGGUAGACGUGCCAGACUUAGGAUCUGGUGCCGCAAGGCGUGUAGGUUCGAGUCCUAUUACCCGCACAA
RNAcentral lists this transfer RNA (85 nucleotides) under Flavobacterium sp. RNAcentral describes it as "tRNA-Leu". It matches the Rfam family "tRNA". From Rfam's summary of the family: Transfer RNA (tRNA) molecules are approximately 80 nucleotides in length. Their secondary structure includes four short double-helical elements and three loops (D, anti-codon, and T loops). Further hydrogen bonds mediate the characteristic L-shaped molecular structure. tRNAs have two regions of fundamental functional importance: the anti-codon, which is responsible for specific mRNA codon recognition, and the 3' end, to which the tRNAs corresponding amino acid is attached (by aminoacyl-tRNA synthetases). tRNAs cope with the degeneracy of the genetic code in two manners: having more than one tRNA (with a specific anti-codon) for a particular amino acid; and 'wobble' base-pairing, i.e. permitting non-standard base-pairing at the 3rd anti-codon position. Lineage: Bacteria; Pseudomonadati; Bacteroidota; Flavobacteriia; Flavobacteriales; Flavobacteriaceae. The record is from RNAcentral.